ACGUAGGUGGCAAGCGUUGUCCGGAUUUACUGGGUGUAAAGGGCGCGUAGGCGGGUAUGCAAGUCAGAUGUGAAAUUUAUGGGCUUAACCCAUAACCUGCAUUUGAAACUGCGUAUCUUGAGUGAUGGAGAGGUAAGUGGAAUUCCUAGUGUAGCGGUGGAAUGCGUAGAUAUUAGGAGGAACACCAGUGGCGAAGGCGACUUACUGGACAUUAACUGACGCUGAGGCGCGAAAGCGUGGGGAGCAAACAG
RNAcentral lists this ribosomal RNA (251 nucleotides) under uncultured prokaryote. Its description in RNAcentral is "partial 16S rRNA". It matches the Rfam family "Bacterial small subunit ribosomal RNA", at positions 525 to 775 of the family's 1533-position model. The record is from RNAcentral.